Molecule: ribosomal RNA, 215 nt
Filed under: Campeiostachys nutans
Lineage: Eukaryota; Viridiplantae; Streptophyta; Magnoliopsida; Poales; Poaceae
Description: Elymus nutans partial small subunit ribosomal RNA
Rfam family: Eukaryotic small subunit ribosomal RNA (bases 46-215)
Source: RNAcentral
GGAUCAAGGAAUCGGUCAUGCCUUGGUAUGUACUGGUUUUAUUGGUUCUCACCUUCUAAAGAAUCAUAAUGUCAUUUAUUUGAUGUUAUGGGAAAUCAGGACUGUUACUUUGAAAAAAUUAGAGUGUUUAAAGCAGGCUCGCGCUUGAAUACAUUAGCAUGGGAUAAUGAAAUAGGACGUUUGAUUCUAUUUUGUUGGUUUCUAGGAUCGACGUA